RNAcentral lists this long non-coding RNA (427 nucleotides) under Capsicum annuum. RNAcentral describes it as "long non-coding RNA (CANN_LNC000331)". Lineage: Eukaryota; Viridiplantae; Streptophyta; Magnoliopsida; Solanales; Solanaceae. The record is from RNAcentral.
CUUAAAGAAGCAGCACCAAUCACAAAAUAAGCUAGAUAUCUUCUAACAAGAACAAUCACCUUAAGGUAACCUCAUUGAACCUUUCUUUAUAUGUAUCAUCCCAAGCCAAUAGCUUAUAGUUAUUAGUAGUGGAGAACAACAAAACACAACAAAUUUAGCAAUUUUUCUCCACUUCUUCUCUCUUUCUUUGAUCUUCUCAACCUCUUCUUCCAACUUCUCCAAUUUCAUAUCAACACAAUUAUCAUAUUUGGAUUCUUUAGGCUUGUCUACUUUAUGAGAAAUUUCCUCAACAAAUUUAUUCAACUCAACUUUUUCAACUUCAUUAAUCGAUGCAUGAUUAUCAAUAUAUUGAGAAGACUCAAGUAAAUUCUUAAGCUCACCUAAUUUCUCUAUUAGUUUUGGAAUCACAUAUUUGGACCUCGGAUCA